Molecule: non-coding RNA, 93 nt
Filed under: Streptomyces sp.
Lineage: Bacteria; Bacillati; Actinomycetota; Actinomycetes; Kitasatosporales; Streptomycetaceae
Also listed under: 1 other name
Description: ZTP sequence
Rfam family: ZMP/ZTP riboswitch aptamer (pfl RNA motif)
About the family: Previously known as pfl RNA. ZMP is also known as AICAR.
Source: RNAcentral
GCGGCGGGCCGUGACUGGCGUUCGGGUGGAUCACCACCGGGGAGCGGCCCGGCGCACCCCCUGCGCCGACUGCCGCGCGCCUGGGCGAUCCGC